This 298-nucleotide long non-coding RNA is filed under the name Brassica napus (rape). RNAcentral describes it as "long non-coding RNA (BNAP_LNC023076)". Lineage: Eukaryota; Viridiplantae; Streptophyta; Magnoliopsida; Brassicales; Brassicaceae. The record is from RNAcentral.
UCAGCUGAAUUCUAUAACAUUUCUUCAAUUUGACCAGACCGGUUGAGGCUCCAGCAAAUGAGGUUACCAAAAAAUCUAAUUCGCAGCCCAAAAUAAACCCGUCAAAGUUAUAUUUUUCACCUUACCUGGAGACUGGAACUCAGAACAGCCAGAUGCGAUUCAACUUCUGUGUAAUUGAAGCUCUCCACUUCUUUGAUUCUUCAGUUCCUCAUCAAUUCCGUAACGUUCCAUGUGAACUCUUCACUUCCUCCAACAUCAACAUAUAUUAAGUUACCAGCGUACAUUCCUGCACUCCAGU